Long non-coding RNA from Melanotaenia boesemani (Boeseman's rainbowfish), 361 nucleotides. RefSeq lists it as uncharacterized. Lineage: Eukaryota; Metazoa; Chordata; Actinopteri; Atheriniformes; Melanotaeniidae. The record is from RefSeq and is a predicted model, not a curated record. The transcript is spliced from 3 exons.
UGGCGAACGGCGCACACACCGGCUUGGUGAUUGACGGCGGCUAUAAAAGACAGCUAGGACGCCACGGUAGUAGGUUUGUGGGCAUAGUCAUCCGCAUCUGGUUGCGUCGUGCACCCCUGGCUCGGUACCAUUUCAGGGUCCCGGUGACUCAUUGCCACACGAGUGGAACGCCCUACAAAGAUAGAAGGAUACUGAUUUUAGCUGCUACCAGCGGUUGGCGUGGAGGCCCCACAGUGGCGCCAACAGACAGGAUUGGGCGUGGUGUGGGGUGGCCCAGCACUGCUUCGUUUGUAUUGGUUUUAUCUUUUAUCGAUUAUACAUAGGUUGCUGUGGUUUUUCUUAAGCUUAAUUUAUUUGGUUU